GAACAGUUGGGACCCCAGGAGGCAGCGGCAGUUGUCCUUGAGCUCUGCAGACGGUGCUGAUGCCAAGUGCACCCAAGAGGAAGGAAAAUACUGAAGUGAAACAGGAAGCAUGGCCUGUGUCAUCCAGAAGGUGCCAGAACCUGAGCUGCCUUCCAGGAAGCUGCACACUUGGGCUUCAGGCCCUGACUACCAGGUCCCCAGACGAGGCCUUUCCUGGAGGUCUUGGCUGCGGCAGUGGGAGCGGCCACUACACGCUAGAGUGGGCAGCCUGUGCUGCCUCUGGUGUCACCGAAGCCCCCUGUGAGAAGGCAGAGAAGGAGGCCAAGCUGGUCACCCAGAGGUCAGGAGAGCAGAGAGAGACCGUGAAACCAUUUGACCUGAACUACGGACAUGGGUAUCAGCUCAAAUCUUCAGGGGAAGAAGGAUCCAGGCAAAAUGAGAUGCCAUCAUUGAAAAUUGUGGAUACAGCCCUGGGGAGGAGAGUAAGGUGGGCUCUGGUGGGCAAAGACUUCAUUGAGAUCCUGACCAAGAAGCAGCACCGCCUGUUGGAGGAGGAGAGGCAAAAGAAGGAGCAAGCCCUCCAGCCCUCCCCCUUCAGGCUUCGACCAGUGACUCCUGGACCAAAGCUGCCACUGCCUUCACCAGCACCAAGCCUGGCUCUGCUGAGGCUGCCACUGCCCAGCAGAUCCCAAUUUCCCUUCCCACGUCUCUGCAAGCUCAAGCCCAGCUGGGACAGAGGGGAGGGCUGCCCGUCUCCCAGUCUCAGGAGAUCUUCAGCUCCUUACAGCCCUUCAGAUACUUUCUUUGGGGCUUUCAAAAGACAGGUGGAGCUAGUGAUACAGAAUCCGCCUGCCAAUGCAAGAGAAGCAAUGGACACAGUUUCAAUCCCUGGGUGGGGAAGAUCCCCUGGAGAAGGAAAUGGGAACCCAUUCCAGUAUUCUUGCCUGGAAAAUUCCGUGGACAGAGGAGCCAGGCAGGGUCCAGUUCAUGGGUAG
Molecule: long non-coding RNA, 995 nt
Filed under: Ovis aries (sheep)
Lineage: Eukaryota; Metazoa; Chordata; Mammalia; Artiodactyla; Bovidae
Description: lncRNA (ENSOARG00000025371.1)
Source: RNAcentral